Zootermopsis nevadensis is the source of this 458-nucleotide non-coding RNA. The record is from RefSeq and is a predicted model, not a curated record. Lineage: Eukaryota; Metazoa; Arthropoda; Insecta; Blattodea; Termopsidae.
AGCUGUAGGAGCCUUUAAAUCCGGACACGCCGUUGUACUCGCGAGCCAUCCAGUCGUCACCUUCCUACCUGUUCUAACAACUAAUACCAGAAGUGUUAGUCUUAAGAUGUUCAAUUUCUCUUGUACUGCCUGUCUAACAUACACAGGCAACCACGUUCCAGAUUCGGUGGAUGCUAAAGUGACAAUGCAAGUUGAUUUGUCCUUCGGUAGAGCUAAUUUCAUCUCGAAGGAGUUCAACAAAGCCAACACUUACACUUAUAAUGUUACACUACACCGUGGGACGAAUUGGUGUAAAGAUUUGAUGGUUCAAAAUAAACAGCGUGCUUCAGGUAGAACACAGCCAUUAAUUUUGGCUAUGAUAUAUGAACUAGCUAAUGAUCCAAUUAAAGAUACUACAGGUAAGUCGAAUUAUUAAACUUAUACUUUCUUGAGUGAAUAGUUUAUUAUACUAUAUAAUU